UCUCUUCCCCAAUUCACGCCGAAACCUUUGUCUUACUUUCACCGUCGAUUGCGCCGCCGGCCCUAUUUCGCGUCGAAAAUCCUAGAUCCCCUCCGCCUACCUCAUUUCUCAUUUCGUGGGGUUCAGAAGGAGCGGCUGGUGCAGGAGGAUAUGUGCGUCAUGUCUGGGAGUGGCGCCGUGACAUCUGCCCCAUCGACCAAACCCUACCCACAUAAACCUUGCAAGUGCACUGACUGCGCUCCCUUCUUUCACGAAGGCAUAUCUAAUGCGCAAUGCUGGGGCUUGUAUUCACAGCCAUGGACUGGAGUCUUGUCUCAUAAGUCAUAACGAUGGGCAAUCCUUUGGGCGUGAUGCGCUUAUAUGUUCGUCCCCUUCCAGAGAACCAUGGUUUCAAAAUUAUUUGAUUGCAGAAAUAUAAAUGGAGACGAACUAUCCCACCUUCAGUUUGGUAAAUUAUGACUACUUUAGAGCUCCUAAUUGUUGAUAUUGCUAAAUUAUCCUUGUGGUUUGAACUAACAAGAACAUGUUCAUGUCAUGGGCCUUUGUGCUACUGUGGGCAGAAAAAAGAGUAGGUUUUGCCCAUGCCAAUUACAGUGCUCUUUUCAUCCAUUCAUCGUGCAAUAGGUGAAUUGUGGUGUGAGAUAUGGAGCUUGAUAUUCCUCUUAGUUUUGUUAGGAAAGUUUGUUUUUGCGACAACCACAAAGGAGUUUCAUUGUGGCUUGACGUUACAGAUGAUAGUUUCAGGCCUUCUGAUAAGGAGCUGCAACAAUAAUCUGGCACGAUUGGGGUUGUUCAGGGGGGAAGAAGCUACUGUGCAGGGCCAGGUUUGUGUCUAGAUCUUAUGUUGCACCGCACCAUCGAUCUCGAGUGGCUAGGUUUGAAACAAUUUGUCGAUUGCCGACUAAUCCUGUGGUACAGCAGGCUGCAGGGGACUUUCACAUAAGAACACAAUGCAAGACCUUCACAUUAAACACAUCCAUUGAUGUCUUUUAUUUUAUGAAUGAUAUUUUGCUUCUCUAUUUUCCUUUCAAGUAAACGUAAGAUUCGUUUUAUGAGUAGUUACUUCA
Molecule: long non-coding RNA, 1067 nt
Organism: Zingiber officinale
Lineage: Eukaryota; Viridiplantae; Streptophyta; Magnoliopsida; Zingiberales; Zingiberaceae
Exons: 3
Source: RefSeq, a predicted model, not a curated record